RNAcentral lists this ribosomal RNA (240 nucleotides) under uncultured bacterium. Its description in RNAcentral is "partial 16S ribosomal RNA". It matches the Rfam family "Bacterial small subunit ribosomal RNA", at positions 333 to 588 of the family's 1533-position model. The record is from RNAcentral.
UGCGUCCUACGGGGGGCAGCAGUGGGGGAUAUUGCACAAUGGGGGAAACCCUGAUGCAGCGACGCCGCGUGGGCGAAGAAGGAUUUCGGUAUGUAAAGCCCUAUCAGCAGGGAAGAAGAAAUGACGGUACCUGAGUAAGAAGCACCGGCUAGAUACGUGCCAGCAGCCGCGGUAAUACGUAUGGUGCAAGCGUUAUCCGGAUUUACUGGGUGUAAAGGGAGCGUAGACGGAAAGGCAAGU